AAUGAACGUUGGCGGCGUGGAUUAGGCAUGCAAGUCGAGCGAUAACCGUAGCAAUACGGCGAAAGCGGCGAAAGGGAGAGUAACACGCGGGUACCUGCCCCCGGAUCCGGGAUAGCUACGGGAAACUGUAGGUAAUACCGGAUAACGUCUCCGGACCAAAGGUGUGAUUCCGUCCGGGGAGGGGCCCACGUCCUAUUAGCUAGUUGGCGAGGUAACGGCUCACCAAGGCCGUGAUGGGUACGGGGUGUGAGAGCAUGCCCCCGCUCACUGGGACUGGGCCCCUGCCCGGAACCCUACGGGUGGCUGCAGUCGAGAAUCUUCGGCAAUGGGCGCAAGCCUGACCGAGCGACGCCGCGUGCGAGAUGAAGGCCUUCGGGUUGUAAAUCGCUGUCGUAGGGGAGGAAAUGCCGGUGGGUUCUCCCAUCGGUUUGACCUAUCCUAGGAGGAAGGACGGGCUAAGUUCGUGCCAGCAGCCGCCGUAA
RNAcentral lists this ribosomal RNA (482 nucleotides) under uncultured bacterium. RNAcentral describes it as "partial 16S ribosomal RNA". It matches the Rfam family "Bacterial small subunit ribosomal RNA", at positions 28 to 523 of the family's 1533-position model. The record is from RNAcentral.